AACACCCGAAGCCGGUGACUCAACCCGUAAGGGAAAGAGCCGUCGAAGGUGGGGUUGGUGAUUGGGGUGAAGUCGUAACAAGGUAGCCGUAUCGGAAGGUGCGGCUGGAUCACCUCCUUU
This 120-nucleotide non-coding RNA is filed under the name Desulfotomaculum copahuensis. RNAcentral's name for it is "Bacterial small subunit ribosomal RNA". It matches the Rfam family "Bacterial small subunit ribosomal RNA", at positions 1416 to 1533 of the family's 1533-position model. Lineage: Bacteria; Bacillati; Bacillota; Clostridia; Eubacteriales; Desulfotomaculaceae. The record is from Rfam by way of RNAcentral.